AACGCGAAGAACCUUACCAGCUUUUGACAUGUCUCGUAUGGUCGCCAGAGAUGGCUUCCUUCAGUUCGGCUGGCGAGAACACAGGUGCUGCAUGGCUGUCGUCAGCUCGUGUCGUGAGAUGUUGGGUUAAGUCCCGCAACGAGCGCAACCCACGUCCCUAGUUGCCACCAUUCAGUUGGGCACUCUAGGGAGACUGCCGGUGAUAAGCCGAGAGGAAGGUGUGGAUGACGUCAAGUCAUCAUGGCCCUUACGGCCAGGGCUACACACGUGCUACAAUGGUCGGUACAGAGCGUCGCCAAGCCGCGAGGUGGAGCUAAUCGCACAAAACCGAUCGUAGUCCGGAUCGCAGUCUGCAACUCGACUGCGUGAAGUCGGAAUCGCUAGUAAUCGUGAAUCAGAAUGUCACGGUGAAUACGUUCCCGGGUCUUGUACACACCG
Molecule: ribosomal RNA, 438 nt
Filed under: uncultured bacterium
Lineage: Bacteria
Description: bacterial SSU rRNA
Rfam family: Bacterial small subunit ribosomal RNA
Source: RNAcentral